GAGGAACUAAUGCAAGAGAGCCAAGUAGCUGAGAGCUAGUGAGUAAGAGAGAAAACCAAGUGUGAGAGAGUUCACAAGUGCAUCAAAAGUGUUGAGCAAGGGGUGUGAGAGAAACAGAUUGUGAAGGUAGUGUUCUAAAGAGGGUUUUUUAUUGGUAAACCAAAGUUGUAAUCUAUCUUUAUUAGUGAAAUUUUUCAGGGAGAUCACCAAAGAGGAUGUAGGCAAAUUACUGAACCUCUAUAAAUUGUUGUGUCCUUUGUGCUUGGUUAUUUCUCUCUGUGUGUGUGAGUGUUUGACACAUUCAUUGUGUGUUUGUCUAAAGUCCGUUCAUCAACAACAAGAUUAUUGGGAGUUUUCUGCACAACAGUAAUUCUGAUGAUAACUUGUUUCAGGUUCUACUUUUUUUAUGAUUUAACCCAUAGAAGCUCAAAUUCCAGCCAUUAUAAUCAUGUGGGACAUAUGAAACAAUGUUUGAGGAUUGAAAAUAUAGUUUCCAAAUUAUGUAGCAGAAACUGAAAUUUAGGGUCAACUACAUACUGCGAGUAUCGAUCUACACAUGUGCACAUCGAUCCGCCUACCCAUUGUAGCUUCCUGGCUGUUUUUUGUUUGUUGCCAAGUCCAAGCAUGGAAGGAUCGCAUAAGCAUCUAACUUAUAUUUAAUCACAAUUAGAUGACAUUUCCCAUGUUGUCACAAGAGCAUCCAAAUUGUAUUUUAUUACAAUUUAUGUCAUUUCCCGCCUUGUCAGCUCUCUCAUUGUUCAUCUAUUUGAGCUAUUUGAAUGAAAUGGGUUUGAUGAUUGUAUUUUGUGAAGAAUUCAAUAGUGAGAGCGAUAUAUAUGGCCUUUAG
This 847-nucleotide long non-coding RNA is filed under the name Prunus dulcis (almond). RNAcentral describes it as "sRNA ncRNA". The record is from RNAcentral. Lineage: Eukaryota; Viridiplantae; Streptophyta; Magnoliopsida; Rosales; Rosaceae.